This 285-nucleotide long non-coding RNA is filed under the name Homo sapiens (human). Its description in RNAcentral is "non-protein coding lnc-INSL5-1:1". The record is from RNAcentral. Lineage: Eukaryota; Metazoa; Chordata; Mammalia; Primates; Hominidae.
AGGCAUAAUGUCCACUGCCUGGGAUUUGUAUGAUUCUUACAAUGCUAUGGAACUUGUAUCUUUAUCAGUAAAACAAUCUGUGGUUGAGUCAAGUAGUAAAGCAAAUGUACUUCCUAAAGAUCAGGACCAAAGAUUGCCAGGGAGCACUACAGAAAAAAGUUUGCUUGUAGAAGCUAUCAAAAACUGCUCAGAACAAUCCAAUCUUAGACUGGAAAUUACACUGGGACUUUAUAUUAGAUCGAUCUUUUCCACACCAUUAAGGCCAUUGACCUACAAAAAUGUGCG